Molecule: ribosomal RNA, 634 nt
Filed under: Mucorales sp.
Lineage: Eukaryota; Fungi; Mucoromycota; Mucoromycetes; Mucorales
Description: eukaryotic LSU rRNA
Rfam family: Eukaryotic large subunit ribosomal RNA
Source: RNAcentral
CAUAUCAAUAAGCGGAGGAAAAGAAACUAACAAGGAUUCCCUCAGUAACGGCGAGUGAAGCGGGAAGAGCUCAAAUUUAAAAUCUGGUUUGCUUGCAAGCCCGAGUUGUAGUCUGAAGAAACGUUUUCCAUAAGCACUGAGGCAAAAGUCCCUUGGAACAGGGCAUCAUAGAGGGUGAGAAUCCCGUCCAUGGUCUCAAGUUGUUUAUUUUGUGAUACGUUUUCAAAGAGUCAGGUUGUUUGGGAAUGCAGCCUAAAAUGGGUGGUAAAUUUCAUCUAAAGCUAAAUAUUGGCGAGAGACCGAUAGCGAACAAGUACCGUGAGGGAAAGAUGAAAAGAACUUUGAAAAGAGAGUUAAACAGUACGUGAAAUUGUUGAAAGGGAACCGUUUGAAGCCAGUCUUACUUGCCUGUGAUCAAUUUUUGCYUCGGCAUGAAUGCACUCUCGGGUAUGGUAGGCCAACGACAGUUUGRAAUGCGAGAAAAAAAUAGAGGAAAUGUGGCCUUCGGGUGUUAUAGUCCUYUAUAAAAUAUCGUGUUCUGGACUGAGGAUCGCAGCAAAAAYGUGGGCAGGUGGAUUUCUGUGGUAACUGUCGGUUAGGACAACUUGUUGACCUAGUCUUCCUUAGCCUCACU